CCCUUAGAUGUUCUGGGCUGCACGCGUGCUACAAUGGCGUUUCCAGCAAGUCUGCGAACCCGAGAGGGCCAGCGGAUCUUCGAAUUGGCGUCGUGAUCGGGACAGUCGAUUGCAAUUAUUUGACUCAAACGAGGAAUUCCUUGUAAUCGCGAUUCAUCAUAUCGCGCUGAAUACGUCCCUGCCCUUUGUACACACCGCCCGUCGCUCCUACCGAUUGAGCGAGCCGGUAAAUGUUUUGGAUUGGUGCCGGGGCGGCUAGCUGCCGGUCGCUACGAAAUUUUGUGAACCUUAUCGCUUAGAGGAAGGAAAAGUCGUAACA
This 319-nucleotide ribosomal RNA is filed under the name uncultured eukaryote. Its description in RNAcentral is "partial 18S ribosomal RNA". It matches the Rfam family "Eukaryotic small subunit ribosomal RNA", at positions 1470 to 1796 of the family's 1831-position model. The record is from RNAcentral.